GUGGCGCUGGACGACGGCCUCGCCUUCAGCCCGUGGCACGGCCUGGCGGCGCACCGGCCGCUCGGCUCGAUCAUGCGGGCGCGCCGGGC
This 89-nucleotide transfer RNA is filed under the name Methylobacterium brachiatum. RNAcentral's name for it is "tRNA-Ala". The record is from RNAcentral. Lineage: Bacteria; Pseudomonadati; Pseudomonadota; Alphaproteobacteria; Hyphomicrobiales; Methylobacteriaceae.